UUUUUUUUUUGUUUGUUUUAUUGAAGUAUAGUUGAUUUGUUUUAUUGAAGUAUAUUCAAUUUAUUUUCUGCUCCUAUCUUUAUUGUUGUGAUAAUUUCUGCUAUACAAAAAAAGGGAUUCAGUUAUACAUAUACACACAUCUAUUCUCUUUAAGAUUCUUUUCUUACAUAGAUGAUCACAGAAUAUUGGGUAGAGCUCUCUGUGCUAUAUAGCAGGUCCCUCUUGGCCAACCACUCCAUACACCUCAGUAUGCAUAUGCCAAUCCCAAACCCCUGGUCCAUCCCUCCCAACUCCACACCUGUCUCCCACCACCACACCUGUCAAAGUCUGUGAGUCUGUUUCUGUUCUACAAAUAAGUUCAUUUAGUAUCUUUUAUUUAGAUUCCACAUAUAAGUGAUACCAUGUGAUGUUUGUUUUUCAUUAACUUCCUGCUAAGCUGCAAUGUUCUGGUAGGUUAGGUGUAUUAUGCACUUCUGAUUUAUGAUAUUUUCAACUUACAAUGGAUUUAUAGGGAUGUAACCCCAUCAUAAAUUGAGGAAGAGAUGUGCAUAUAUAAAUAAAUUUUUUUAUUUGCUUUUUCUGACUAGGCCAGAAUUCCAACAUCUCUCAGCAAUGCACACCUCUGGUCUCACGCAAUCUUGCCACAUCCAAGCCUGGCUCACCUCCAGCCAAAGAUCCACAGUGAAUCCUCAACACAAAUUUUGGGUGCCCACCUCUAUGCAGAUCCCUAUUCUCUGGUACCCUGCCUUGCAAAUUCCAGCUACCGCAGGCAACUCGAAACUCCAACCUCUGCCUCCAAAGCGCAGUAAGACCAUGCAUCCAUUUGGGCUCCCCACCCCUGUACCAUGACAAGAAUCUACCCAGGCAAACAUACAAACAAAAAAACCUGGAAAAAUAGUAGGGCUCACCUUGUGUCUUUCUUUAUUUCAAUGAUUAUAGUCCUGAAAUGCCCAUUCUUCAAUGCCUAGAAACAGUUGUCUCACACAUUUUCUUGUUUUAUAGUUGUUUUUAGAGAGAGGCAAUUCAUUACGGGUUGCUAUGGUGUGGCUGAAAGUGACAGACUCCUGUGCUUAACUCCUGAUUUUAUUUAAAAAGAAUAUAAAUAUUUUCUACACCUUCUUGAGUCAAUUGUGUUUUUCCAAGGAUUUUUCUAUUACACUCAACUUUUUAUAUUUGCUGGAAAAAAAUGUUGCUCAAAAUUUCUUGUUUUCAUUUCAAUAUCUGAAGCAUCCAUACAUUCCUAAUAUUUCUUGUGACUUCUCUCUUUUCCUUGAUCGAUUUCAUCAGAAGUUUGUCAAAUUUAUCAGUUAGUCUUUUCAAUGAACUAAUCUUUUCUGCUGUGUUGAUCCUCUAGAGUGAAUGUUUCUCUACAUGGUUAUAUCUUCUGCUCAUAUCUUUAUUGUUUCCUUCCUUCUGUUUUUUUUUGGGUUAAAAUUUCUGUUCUUCAUGAGUAUGUAUAAUUCACUAGCAGCUCAGAAUGUCAUUUAUUUGGCAGUAUGUGAUUGACUAUCAUGUAAAAAGUCAUUUGGGGUACAUUACACACAAGGGCAGAGACUUAUGUUUAUCUUUGUAUUUCCAAGUCCUGCUACGUAGUGGGUCCUCAUAUAAUGUUCGUUUCUUUAAGGAUAUGGAAAAUUAUGUGUUAAUAUGAUGAACCCUUGGGAAAAUACAAAACAUAUGAUCCAUGUUACAAAAUUUAUUCAUGAUACAAUCUCAACAGUAUUGAAUUUAUUUACAAUGUCCCCAAUUUUUUUCUGAAAUAGCUCUCAACUUCUUAAAAGGGAAAGCAGUUAAACCAUGCAUUUUUAAUAUAUUUUUUCACACUAGCCUUCCUUUGUGGGCAAUAUCUGAGAAAUUGGCACUCACAAGUAACUUUAAAUAACAUGAAGAAAUGAAAGAGCUUAUCUAAUAAAUAGAUCAUUAAAGAAAUUAACCUAUUGUCAUCUUGUUUAUGGUUAACUAUUAACAAUUGGAUUCUGAUUUUUUUACAGGAAGGUGCCUAUAAACUCACCCUGAAUGUUAGAUGUACACGAUUCAUGUCAACCUUACCGCAAGCACAACAUAAAACUACAUAACAUUUGACAAUUAAUUUUCGAAAUACUAUGAAAGAAGAAGAUUAAAAAUGUGGACCAUCGACCCUAGGACUCAAGUAUAUUCUUUUGCCAGUCUUAUUUCCAAAUCUCUCCAUCCUGUAGCUGUUAAUGAGUUUUUUUCUAAUCAUGACUAAAUCUAAUAUGUAAGUACUUAGAUCUCAAUUUUACCUUCUACUUACAUUUUGGCUAGAAUAAUACUAAAAUCACCAGCAUUAAUUAAACAAUAGCUUAAUUUUUGAGGAUCUUCUUUGUGACAGGCACUUCUUUGUGAUAUGCUUCCUUAAGUAUUCAGAAUCAUGCUUGGUGAGAGAGACAAAUCGUUCUAGGGGCCAUUUACAUUUACUCAGGUUAUCCACAAAGAACAGAAUAUUAUAUGCACUUUUGAUCCAAUAAAUAAUCUGUAUGAUUGAAGAUGCUGAAUUUCAAACAUGUUAGGAAAGGCCAGUAUGAAAAGCUCAAAUGUGAACACUUUUACAAAUCUCCACGGAGUCCCCGUCGAGGUGCAGUGGAAACGAAUCCGACUAGGAACCACGAGGUUGCGGGUUCAGUCCCUGGCCUCGCUCAGUGGGUUAAGGAUCCGGCAUUGCCGUGAGCUAUGGUGUAGGUUCAAUCCCUGGUCUGGGAACUGAGAUUGCAUAUCAUGUCCCUGACAACCAUGGCAAGAAAAAAAAUGAUAAACUCAAUUUUUAUCUAUUCACAGUAACAUACCAUACCAAUUCCCAAGAUAACACCCAAAUGAGUGACUCACUGGAUGUAGGCUUCAAGUUACAAGAAUAUGCAGUUUUUACAUUUGAAUGACAACUUAAAGAGUCUACAAUAGUGUUACCCACAUUUUGUGUGCUUGACUCCUUUUAAACAAAAGUGUUCCAAAGCCAUAUUCCUCCCCGUGCCUGCUCCCCAAGUAGAGGCAUAUAGUGUAGAAGGGACACUUGAUUAGGCUGCACCCUCUAGGUAUGUGGGAUGAAGGCUUCUAGGCAGAGUGGCUAUAUCAACAUUUUUCUAAUACUUGAGGAAAUUAGCCGAAAGAUAAGUGCAAAAAAAAUGUUAAAUCUCAAGUCAGUAGGGUCCAAAUUUUUCAAAUAAGUUUGCAAAACAUAUGACUCAUGGAAAAAUCCAUUUCAGGGGUUUUCCAGAACAAUUCAGUAGGACAGUCAGGAAAAUGAUCACUUAUUGGAGCUACAUUUUAACACCAACACAUUUAGUUUGUUUUAGCAGUGGAUGCCUUCGAGAACUUUUAUGAACUGUGAUGUUUAAAUAAAAACACAUAUACAUCAUUUUUAUUGCUUUUCCCACAAACCUCUAUUUUCUUUAAGUCCUCAGUCUUGCCCUCCAUAGUUUUACAUACCACAGUCUUUUUCACAAGCAUACUACAUAGUUUAUGAAGGAUUAGUCUCUUUCCAGGCAGGUCCUUCUAUCUCAGGCCCACCAAAUCACACAAUUGAGCAAACACCUGGACUGCCUACUUUAGCCCUGCUUCCAAGAGGCAGUUGAGAAAAUGCCUACAUUAUGCUCUCGGUUGCACUCUGUAACUAAACUAUCUUCCUUUCUGGUUUCUGAAAAAAUACCCCUUUCCCAACCAGGUACCAUUUCCUACUCUUAAAAUACUUUGGUUUUGGUCAAUAGGAGAGGAAAUGCAACCUAUUUUUAGAAAUGAAUGUGGGUAUGGUGCUAUUAACACUUUCAAGGUAGAUCUAUAAACAUAUAACGCCACUUGGUUUUUCUAAAUGAUAAUAUUAAGGUAGAUAUCAAUUCUGUUUCUACUGCUGUUUUAUAUGUUGCUCUACAUUAAUGUGAAUAGUAGGAGGGCAGAAACUCUGUUUCUCUUCUACAGCACACAGUAUUGUUUUAAUUAAUAUUUUAAAAUAAAAUGUGUACCUGACAAAUUCAAUAAUAUUUCAUUUCUUUAGUUGUUAUUAUAUUUUAUAGAUGAGAAAUUAGGCUUCAGAGAGGUUAAGCAUCUUACCUAAUUUGCAGAGUACAUGGCAGAGACAGUAUGAUAAGACAGGUAGAGGCAGGAAUUAAACCUAAGUCUGACUCCAAAUCCCAUGGCCUUCUCACUAAAUCAUCAUACCUUCCUCCAGGGUGGUCUCUCUGGGAAAUUCCACCAGAAGCCAACUUACUUUGUACAAAAUAUCCAGGCUAAGCCUAUCCUGAUUAAAAAGGUCAUGGUCUGUCCCCAUCCGACAGUCAAUCUGAGGCAAAGCUCAUGUUCUCUUAGCUCUAACUACAUGUCUCUUUCUGGAGAUUCACGACAAUAACAAGCGUUCCUUUGGGAAGAGUCCAAUCCUUUAGCCUCCCUGGCCCAGUGUGGAAUGACUCAGGUCAGACUACAGCCGCUCCAAACAACUCCUUCCAAGUAAGACCUUAAGAAUGUCAGUGACUCAGGUACCAUUGUUUUCAGAUGAUCUUGGGUGGAGGCCAUGACCACUUGCAAGUUUAAAACAUUAAGUGAUUCAAGAUGGGGAAAGUUAGAGUGAGGGGUUGGACACUCUCAGGCUCAUAAAAAAAAAAGAAAAGAAAAAGAAUGUACCAGCUCACUGACUACAGCAUAGCCUGAUAAACGGGAGUCCUCUUUCAAGUUAAAUCUUAUUUUUUCCUCUUUGGAUUGAAGGAAAAUGCAAGAUAAAACCUAAGAGUAGUUACCCUCUGAAGUCCUCCAGGAAAUGUUUAUUUUGUCUUAUGUAUAAAACAAUAACUAGUAUCCAAAAGAACUUGAUGUCCCAGUUAAGAAUGAAAAAGACCACGAUAAACAGCUGGAGGGGGCUGAUAGCAUGUUGCAUCCCGUGCAUUCUUCACCGGCCCCUAGAACUGCACUUUAAAAAUGGAGAAAAACAUUUCCUGCCUUAGUGCCAAACAGAGAAAGGCAAAUGGUCUGGAAUGACCUCAGAAGAUUUAGCAAAGGAACUUAAACAGAAUUUGCUCAAAACUUCAAUGAACUGGACUUCUGCCAAACCACUUGGAAAAUUUCUGCAUUCAGAAAGAAGAAAAAUCUUCCCCAUGAAAGACACUCUCUGGAAGAAACCAUUCCAACCACUAUAAAUAUUUUUGCCAUUGACUGUAUGAGUGACUAUGUCAGAAUUCUUGAUGUAUGUCUCCAUUUCCUCUUAUUCUUAUCCAACUAUUACUUUUUAAAAGUAAAUCCUGUGGUUUACUAGUUUGUGUAACCC
This 5260-nucleotide long non-coding RNA is filed under the name Sus scrofa (pig). Its description in RNAcentral is "lncRNA (ENSSSCG00060040303.1)". Lineage: Eukaryota; Metazoa; Chordata; Mammalia; Artiodactyla; Suidae. The record is from RNAcentral.